UCCCUGGUGGUCCAGUGGUUAGGAUUCUGUGCUGUCAAUACAGGGGUCUCAGGUUCAAUUCCUGGUCAGGGCA
Transfer RNA from Ovis aries (sheep), 73 nucleotides. It matches the Rfam family "tRNA". From Rfam's summary of the family: Transfer RNA (tRNA) molecules are approximately 80 nucleotides in length. Their secondary structure includes four short double-helical elements and three loops (D, anti-codon, and T loops). Further hydrogen bonds mediate the characteristic L-shaped molecular structure. tRNAs have two regions of fundamental functional importance: the anti-codon, which is responsible for specific mRNA codon recognition, and the 3' end, to which the tRNAs corresponding amino acid is attached (by aminoacyl-tRNA synthetases). tRNAs cope with the degeneracy of the genetic code in two manners: having more than one tRNA (with a specific anti-codon) for a particular amino acid; and 'wobble' base-pairing, i.e. permitting non-standard base-pairing at the 3rd anti-codon position. The record is from Rfam. NCBI's taxonomy places the organism in Eukaryota, Metazoa, Chordata, Mammalia, Artiodactyla, Bovidae.